Molecule: long non-coding RNA, 420 nt
Organism: Cyprinus carpio (common carp)
Lineage: Eukaryota; Metazoa; Chordata; Actinopteri; Cypriniformes; Cyprinidae
Source: Ensembl
AUGCUGUCUCAAAUGGAUGAAGAAAUCAUGACAUCCCUUCGUGAGCUCCCAGAAAUGAUUAAAUUAAUGAAGGAGUGUGUGCAGUGUGUCCGGUCAUUGAUUCCCUCACCCGGUGGGACCCCCUCAUCAGGAAUGUCUGCCUCUAGUACUGUUCCCAGUGAAAUUGAAAUGACACUGUUCUUGUGGAGUUUCCACACACAACUCCGUCGGAAGUGCGAGCGGCCAUCAGGCGCAAGUGCAACAAUGAGCAAUUUAGCAAGAAAAAUUGAAGUUUGCUUGCUGUUCCACAAUGUUUCAAUUUUGUUUUCUUUCAGCAUUCUUUUUUUUUUUUUAAACAUGGUGUAUUUUGUUCUGUUUUUCAAUGCUACAACCAUGUGAGGAUUUAAUAAACACUGUUUGAGUUCAUUAUGUGUAUCUGUG